Molecule: non-coding RNA, 82 nt
Filed under: unclassified sequences
Description: eL15-Euryarchaeota ribosomal protein leader
Rfam family: eL15-Euryarchaeota ribosomal protein leader (bases 31-82)
Source: RNAcentral
CUCGCCGCCGAGGCCGAGGUCACCGUUGAUCUCGUAUCUCGGGACGAGACGACAUGUGGCCGCCUCGCGGCUGAAUCGCAAC